UACGUAGGGUGCAAGCGUUAUCCGGAAUUAUUGGGCGUAAAGAGCUCGUAGGCGGUUUGUCGCGUCUGCUGUGAAAACCCGAGGCUCAACCUCGGGCCUGCAGUGGGUACGGGCAGACUAGAGUGCGGUAGGGGAGAUUGGAAUUCCUGGUGUAGCGGUGAAAUGCGCAGAUAUCAGGAGGAACACCGGUGGCGAAGGCGGGUCUCUGGGCCGAUACUGACGCUGAGGAGCGAAAGCGUGGGGAGCAAACAGG
This 253-nucleotide ribosomal RNA is filed under the name uncultured bacterium. RNAcentral's name for it is "partial 16S ribosomal RNA". It matches the Rfam family "Bacterial small subunit ribosomal RNA", at positions 524 to 776 of the family's 1533-position model. The record is from RNAcentral.